AGAGUUUGAUCCUGGCUCAGGAUGAACGCCGGCGGUGUGCCUAAUACAUGCAAGUCGUACGCACUGGCCCAACUGAUUGACGGUGCUUGCACCGGAUUGACGAUGGAUCACCAGUGAGUGGCGGACGGGUGAGUAACACGUAGGUAACCUGCCCCGGAGCGGGGGAUAACAUUUGGAAACAGAUGCUAAUACCGCAUAACAACAAAAGCUACAUGGCUUUUGUUUGAAAGAUGGCUUUGGCUAUCACUCUGGGAUGGACCUGCGGUGCAUUAGCUAGUUGGUAAGGUAACGGCUUACCAAGGCGAUGAUGCAUAGCCGAGUUGAGAGACUGAUCGGCCACAAUGGAACUGAGACACGGUCCAUACUCCUACGGGAGGCAGCAGUAGGGAAUCUUCCACAAUGGGCGCAAGCCUGAUGGAGCAACACCGCGUGAGUGAAGAAGGGUUUCGGCUCGUAAAGCUCUGUUGUUGGAGAAGAACGUGCGUGAGAGUAACUGUUCACGCAGUGACGGUAUCCAACCAGAAAGUCACGGCUAACUACGCGCCAGCAGCCGCGGUAAUACGUAGGUGGCAAGCGUUAUCCGGAUUUAUUGGGCGUAAAGCGAGCGCAGGCGGUUGCUUAGGUCUGAUGUGAAAGCCUUCGGCUUAACCGAAGAAGUGCAUCGGAAACCGGGCGACUUGAGUGCAGAAGAGGACAGUGGAACUCCAUGUGUAGCGGUGGAAUGCGUAGAUAUAUGGAAGAACACCAGUGGCGAAGGCGGCUGUCUGGUCUGCAACUGACGCUGAGGCUCGAAAGCAUGGGUAGCGAACAGGAUUAGAUACCCUGGUAGUCCAUGCCGUAAACGAUGAGUGCUAGGUGUUGGAGGGUUUCCGCCCUUCAGUGCCGGAGCUAACGCAUUAAGCACUCCGCCUGGGGAGUACGACCGCAAGGUUGAAACUCAAAGGAAUUGACGGGGGCCCGCACAAGCGGUGGAGCAUGUGGUUUAAUUCGAAGCUACGCGAAGAACCUUACCAGGUCUUGACAUCUUGCGCUAACCUUAGAGAUAAGGCGUUCCCUUCGGGGACGCAAUGACAGGUGGUGCAUGGUCGUCGUCAGCUCGUGUCGUGAGAUGUUGGGUUAAGUCCCGCAACGAGCGCAACCCUUGUUACUAGUUGCCAGCAUUAAGUUGGGCACUCUAGUGAGACUGCCGGUGACAAACCGGAGGAAGGUGGGGACGACGUCAGAUCAUCAUGCCCCUUAUGACCUGGGCUACACACGUGCUACAAUGGACGGUACAACGAGUCGCAAGCUCGCGAGAGUAAGCUAAUCUCUUAAAGCCGUUCUCAGUUCGGACUGUAGGCUGCAACUCGCCUACACGAAGUCGGAAUCGCUAGUAAUCGCGGAUCAGCAUGCCGCGGUGAAUACGAUCCCGGGCCUUGUACACACCGCCCGUCA
Molecule: ribosomal RNA, 1434 nt
Filed under: uncultured bacterium
Lineage: Bacteria
Description: 16S ribosomal RNA
Rfam family: Bacterial small subunit ribosomal RNA
Source: RNAcentral